This is a long non-coding RNA of Limulus polyphemus (Atlantic horseshoe crab), 2629 nucleotides long. RefSeq lists it as uncharacterized. Lineage: Eukaryota; Metazoa; Arthropoda; Merostomata; Xiphosura; Limulidae. The transcript is spliced from 3 exons. The record is from RefSeq and is a predicted model, not a curated record.
UUUGUUUUUCUGGUCCUUAUAUAAACUGAUGCAUAUGACCCGCACUAAUAAUUUCGUUGAGUCUAUCUUUCUGUAACCAUCAAGUGUAAAAAGUUUUCACCAGCGAUAUCCUUUUUCACGAUUUAAAAUGGCUUCACAGGUACACGAAUUUGAAGUAGAAAUGACUUCCCAGGAAUGCGUCGAUGCUAUUAAAAAAGCCCUGGAAGGCUUGGAAGGUGUAAACAAAGUGGAAAUUGAGAUCGAGAAAAAAAGGUUUUUAUUGAUUCCACCCUGUCGUCAGACGAGCUUCUGGAAGCAUUGAAAAAGACAGGCAAAAAUUCUUCUUACGUUGGAGUGAAAGCUGCUUGAAAAUUUCUCAGUUUAUCAUUGAAGCCAUUAACCAUCUGUAGACGCAUUUAAGGAAUCCAUGUGCUAAGUGUGUUUUACCGUAAUAUUUCACGCAUUUUUAUUUGUCAAAACUAAUAGCAUUUGUGUUUUGUGUGUCAUUAACAGUUUAUUAUAUAACUAAAAACAUGGGUACAAAAUUGAAGAUUUCGGUGAUACUUCCGAAAAAUUGUAAACUUCAAUAAAAUUCAUUUUUGACUUAUUAAAUGCCAGGAUAGUUGAAACAUUGCAUCUAAAGAUUUCUUUAGUCACGUAACUUUUGUUUUUUAAUCAAAGGAGAAUUUGUGCCAUUAAAGAGUCAUAAAUAAAUAAAGAAGGAAGGGAUUUAGGUAUUUAUGCUAGUAUUGAAAGUUUUAUUGUUUAAUCUAUGAAUCACCUUUAGGGUCAUCCUUAUUAACAAAGUGCAUAUUUUCAAUAUUUUGUUAACGAAAAUCUUCGAUGUAUUUUAUGCUUUGUAAGUAAUUGUGUAAGAAAAUAUUCUCUUCUGAAAUUACAACUUUAUAGAGAUUAAAAAGGGGGGAAAAGUGUUUGCUACGUGAGGCAUUAAUCUUUCCCAAUGUGUUCAUUUUAUACGUUCUUAGAAAGUGAAAUCAUUACUUUGAGUUCUUAGAACGGAAUUUUGCUCUUCUUAAUUUCUAUGUAAUAUAUUGAAUUACACCGAGUAAUGCUAUGAAUGAGUGUGUAUUUUCUGUAAAUUCCAAUUUUAAUAUAUUGCAGAAAUGUGCUCUAAUUACUAAAAACGAAGAUAAAGUUUACAGUUUUCUGUCAGUAAAUAUUUGAACAUGCAUGUAUUAAUUGAUAUUAUAUAAGUUACAAAUAUGGAGCAUCUCUUAAACUUGAUUAUUAAGCUCUAUUAGUGAUCGAAAAUGGAAUUUAAAACACGAAUAAAGUUCUAUCGUAAUUGUAUGAUCCCCAGACAGUAUCUUAGUAAACAAAAACACUCUGUGUCUGAGAGACCACGAUUUACAAACUGCUGUUCUCGUUACAUAAAAUGUUAACAUUUCUCAUCUAAAGUUUAUUUCAAUAGAACAUUUUUUUUCUAUUCCAAGUGAACUAAAACGUUUAUUUAUCAGUAUUUUUCAAUUUGUAGUAUGUAAAACUAUUGUAACGUUCAGUCUUUUUUUUUCUUCGUGCUAUCUGGUGAUCAUAGACUUGCUAAUAAUGCCUUCAGAGUUUAAUCCUUUUAACGUUACUGUUGAAUUUCUGCUACUAUAAAGAUGACGAAAAAAACAUUUUUCUCUUAUAUAAUUAAUGUGUUAAAUGUUUAUAAAGACUGUUUAUAUAAAAAAUCCUCAAGAUUUGUUCUUGUCUGUUUGUCUCAGUAAAAUCUUUGUGCACAUGUACUAAAUGCAACUAUAUACUACGACAUUUUAACACAUACAGACUUAACUCAGAGUCACGUAGACUUUUGGCAAUUAGCCAACAUAAAUGCAGCGUUGAAUUAAAGAAAGGAUGUGACCCUAUCGGCUUCAUUAGGAGUUAACUAAAAAAAAAAACGGUCAAAGCGACAUAUGACGUCACAUAAGUCCAGUGCGCAUUACGUGAUCAGUCGUGCGUUUUGUUUUGUCUAGGAACUAUAUGCCAUGCGUAUAAGUAGACAAGCAGGCCCUUCGAGCAAAUAGCCAUUACACCAAUAAAUGAAUAAGCCAAGUUUAAUAUAUUUAACACGAGCACUUUGAAACUAGACCAGCAAUCACACGUUUCCUUGUUAUCUGUUGCUUUCUUUAAUCCAAUAUAUAACUUGUGUGAUCUAACUAGGUCUUUCGCAGUUGUGAUAUACUGUAUUUUUUAAAUCUGUAGUUGUAAGUUUAUAUACGUAAUAUUUCAUAAUAUAGUCACUUAACGUACAAACAAAAAUAAUAUUUUUGGUUAACAAAAAUGUGUAAAGUAACUAUUGGCCUAUCCAUAUAUCCAACAAACUGUUUAUUCGGUUUCUAUCGUACACGAUUAAUGCAGCUAUCAAAUUUGUCACUAAAUUAUAUAGAUUACUCACGCUCAUUGAUAUCGUCACGUAAUUUUAGUGUAUGUUAUUCUCCGAAAAUCUAACACACAUGAUAACAAUGAAAGUAGUCGGGAAAUUAGAAAACUUGCAUAGAAUGUAAAUUAAUCUUCCUGUUUUUUAUACUAAGCGAAGCUACUUAUACUCUCUUAUAUCUUGUUUGUUCAAAUUGUUCCUAAUAAUCUUACAUAAGAAAAAUGGUUACUUGUACGUCCAAAGUGACUAAUAAAAGCUUUCUUGUUCACA